ACUCCUACGGGAGGCAGCAGUGGGGGAAUAUUGCACAAUGGGCGCAAGCCUGAUGCAGCAACGCCGCGUGAGCGAUGAAGGCCUCGGUCGUAAAGCUCUGUCCUCAAGGAAGAAUAAAUGACGGUACUUGAGGAGGAAGCCCGGGCUAACUACGUGCCAGCAGCCGCGGUAAUACGUAGGGGGCAAGCGUUAUCCGGAAUCACUGGGGCGUAAAGGGGUGCGUAGGCGGUUUUUCAAGUCAGAAGUGAAAGGCUAUGGCUCAACCAUAGUAAGCUUUUGAAACUGUUAAACUUGAGUGCAGGAGAGGAAAGUGGAAUUCCUAGUGUAGAGGUGAAAUUCGUAGAUAUUAGGAGGAACACCAGUGGCGAAGGCGACUUUCUGGACUGUAACUGACGCUGAGGCACGAAAGCGUGGGGAGCGAACAGGAUUAGAUACCCUGGUAGACUGUCA
RNAcentral lists this ribosomal RNA (450 nucleotides) under uncultured bacterium. Its description in RNAcentral is "bacterial SSU rRNA". It matches the Rfam family "Bacterial small subunit ribosomal RNA", at positions 335 to 802 of the family's 1533-position model. The record is from RNAcentral.